Molecule: ribosomal RNA, 253 nt
Filed under: uncultured bacterium
Lineage: Bacteria
Description: partial 16S ribosomal RNA
Rfam family: Bacterial small subunit ribosomal RNA
Source: RNAcentral
UACGGGGGGGGCAAGCGUUGUUCGGAAUUACUGGGCGUAAAGGGCUCGUAGGCGGCCGACUAAGUCAGACGUGAAAUCCCCAGGCUCAACCUGGGAACUGCGUCUGAUACUGGAUGGCUUGAAUUCGGGAGAGGGAUGCAGAAUUCCAGGUGUAGCGGUGAAAUGCGUAGAUAUCUGGAGGAAUACCGGUGGCGAAGGCGGCAUCCUGGACCGACAUUGACGCUGAGGCGCGAAAGCUAGGGGAGCAAACGGG